AGUGAACGCUGGCGGUAGGCCUAACACAUGCAAGUCGAACGGCAGCACAGUAAGAGCUUGCUCUUACGGGUGGCGAGUGGCGGACGGGUGAGGAAUACAUCGGAAUCUACUUUUUCGUGGGGGAUAACGUAGGGAAACUUACGCUAAUACCGCAUACGACCUACGGGUGAAAGCAGGGGAUCUUCGGACCUUGCGCGAUUGAAUGAGCCGAUGUCGGAUUAGCUAGUUGGCGGGGUAAAGGCCCACCAAGGCGACGAUCCGUAGCUGGUCUGAGAGGAUGACAGGCCACCUUGGACUUGAGAAACGGCCAAGCUUCCUACGGGAGGCGGAGGGGGGGAAUAUUGGACAAGGGGCGAAGGCCUGACCCAGCAAACCCGGGGGGGGGAAGAAGGCCUUCGGGUUGUAAGGCCCUUUUGUUGGGAAAGAAAACCAGCAGUUUAAUACCCCGCUGUUCUGACGGUACCCAAAGAAUAAGCACCGGCUAACUUCGUG
This 492-nucleotide ribosomal RNA is filed under the name uncultured bacterium. Its description in RNAcentral is "partial 16S ribosomal RNA". It matches the Rfam family "Bacterial small subunit ribosomal RNA", at positions 29 to 507 of the family's 1533-position model. The record is from RNAcentral.